CGGGUGCACUGAUCCGGCCGGGCCUUUCCCUCUGUGGAACCCCAUGGCCUUCACUGGCUGUGCGGGGGAAACAGGACUUUUACUGUGAAAAAAUUAGAGUGCUCCAGGCAGGCCUAUGCUCGAAUACAUUAGCAUGGAAUAAUAGAAUAGGACGCGUGGUUCUAUUUUGUUGGUUUCUAGGACCGCCGUAAUGAUUAAUAGGGACAGUCGGGGGCAUCAGUAUUCAAUUGUCAGAGGUGAAAUUCUUGGAUCUAUUGAAGACUAACUACUGCGAAAGCAUUUGCCAAGGAUGUUUUCAUUGAUAAGGAACGAAAGUUAGGGGAUCGAAGACGAUCAGAUACCGUCGUAGUCUUAACUAUAAACUAUGCCGACUAGGGAUCGGACGAUGUUAUUUCUUGACGCGUUCGGCACCUUUCGAGAAAUCAAAGUGCUUGGGCUCCAGGGGGAGUAUGGUCGCAAGGCUGAAACUUAAAGAAAUUGACGGAAGGGCACCACCAGGGGUGGAACCUGCGGCUUAAUUUGACUCAACACGGGGAAACUCACCAGGUCCAGACACAGUGAGGAUUGACAGAUUGAGAGCUCUUUCUUGAUUCUGUGGGUGGUGGUGCAUGGCCGUUCUUAGUUGGUGGAGUGAUUUGUCUGCUUAAUUGCGAUAACGAACGAGACCUUAACCUGCUAAAUAGCCCGUACUGCUCUGGCAGUUCGCCGGCUUCUUAGAGGGACUAUCGCG
Molecule: ribosomal RNA, 730 nt
Filed under: uncultured eukaryote
Lineage: Eukaryota
Description: SSU rRNA
Rfam family: Eukaryotic small subunit ribosomal RNA
Source: RNAcentral